RNAcentral lists this ribosomal RNA (479 nucleotides) under uncultured bacterium. Its description in RNAcentral is "partial 16S ribosomal RNA". It matches the Rfam family "Bacterial small subunit ribosomal RNA", at positions 29 to 507 of the family's 1533-position model. The record is from RNAcentral.
ACGAACGCUGGCGGCGCGCUUAACACAUGCAAGUCGAGCGAUGAAAUCUUGACAGAUCCCUUCGGGGUGAAGAUAAGAUGGAUUAGCGGCGGACGGGUGAGUAACACGUGAGUAACCUGCCUUAGACAUUGGGAUAGCCUCGGGAAACCGGGAUUAAUACCAAAUGAAAUCAUAGGUGCCCAUGCACUAAUGAUCAAAACUCCGGUGGUCUAAGAUGGACUCGCGUCCCAUUAGCUAGUUGGUGAGGUAAUGGCCCACCAAGGCGACGAUGGGUAGCCGGCCUGAGAGGGUGAACGGCCACAUUGGAACUGAGAAACGGUCCAAACUCCUACGGGAGGCAGCAGUGGGGAAUAUUGCACAAUGGAGGGAACUCUGAUGCAGCGACGCCGCGUGAACGAUGAAGGCUUUCGAGUCGUAAAGUUCUUUUAUAUGGGAAGAUAAUGACGGUACCAUAAGAAAAAGCCCCGGCUAACUACGUG